RNAcentral lists this long non-coding RNA (1410 nucleotides) under Piliocolobus tephrosceles (Ugandan red Colobus). RNAcentral describes it as "lncRNA (ENSPTEG00000008798.1)". Lineage: Eukaryota; Metazoa; Chordata; Mammalia; Primates; Cercopithecidae. The record is from RNAcentral.
GUAUAGUUUAAAAAAUGUUCCCAGAUAAAUUAUUUAAACCACUUUAAAAGGUAAAAAGAAAAAAAUAAAACAAACAAUAAUCAGUUUUUAAAUUGUAAAUUUUGGUUUUUUCUUUUAAUUUAUAUUAUGAUAAAAAAAAAAAAAAAAAAAAAAAAAUUGACAAUGUACAAUUAUUAUGUUUUUGUAAAUUAGUAAAAUUAUAUUAUUCAUUACAAUUUUUUUUUUUUUAUUUUUCAAAUAUUUAAAGUAAAAAAGUGAAAAGUGAUUAAAAAAAAAAAAAAAAAAAAAAAAAAAUUUGUCAUAAACAAUAAAAAAAGAGGGUGAAACAACAUUUAAAAAUUGUGCUACGUUGUGAUCUCAAGCAUAUUAUACAGUGAGCACUUAUAAAAAUGUGGCAAAUACGUUUAUUACUACAUCAUUUAAAGUAAUCCUUUAUAAAAUUUAAUGGAAAAAAAGAAAAAAAAAAAUAACAUAAUAAAAUAUAACGUCACAGUAUAUAUAUAUAUAUAUAUAUUUAUACAUACAUGUAAAUAUAUUGGCAAUGUGGCAAAAUGAAACUUGAUAAAAAAAAGGAUUUUAAAAAAAAAUUAGUUAACUGCUGCUCUCUGCUACAAGCCCCUGAACCUCUAAAAAUUAUUGUUGAUGAAUCUUUUAUUAAUUUAUGUAUUACUUAUAAAAUUUCAUUUAAAGAUGAAUUAAAUAAACUAAUAAACAGGCAAAUAACAAUUAUGACUACUCAAUGUAUUACCCAAUGCGCUAAAAAAAAAGAACUUGACGAAUCGGCUUAUAGUUUAAGAAAAAUAACAUAUUUUAAGUGUAAUCAUAAUGAAAGUAAUAUUGAAAAAUCAGUUGAUAUAUUUUUAGAAAAAAUGACAAAACGAAAAAAUAAUUACAUAUCUUUAUAUGAAAAUUUUUUCGAAAACAAAGUCAAAGUGACUCAUGAUUUUGAUACUAUAAAAAAUAUAAAACCUUCAAUUUCUGUAAAUGACACAAAAUCAAUAAUACAGGAUAAAAAUAUUAAAACAGUAGGAAACAUAAAUAAAAGCGAAACUGAAAUAGAGCAAAAAGAAGUGAAUGAAAACAACAAUGACGAAGAAGAAGCAAAACAAGAACAUAUCGAGGUGAAAAAUGAGAAACAAGAAAAUGAACAGGGUUUAACAGACUCAAUGAAAUGUAUUAUAGAUUUAGUUAAAAAUAAUAAUGAACAAAAAUUUUUUAUUGCUACAAAUAAUAGUCAUUUACGAUCAUUUUUAAGGAACAUAUUCAUAGUACCAAUAAUUUAUGUGAACGACAGUGGAGUAAUUAAAUUAGAAAAUAUAUCAACAAAAAACAUGAACAAAAAAGAAAAAUUCGAAAUGAGAAAAUUUAAGAUGCCUAAAUGGGAAAGAGAAUUAAAAAUGAAUGAACAAC